AUUCUGACUAUUUUCUAGUUCCCUGACCUCGGAUUCUAUAUUUGAGUUUUGAGUACCUUUAGCAUCCUUGACCUUGUCUUUCUAUGGACUCUGUAUUAUCGCCUAUGUAGGGCACACGUUAGCUCAGCCACUCUAAAGUUCAGUAUAUGUACCUCCAUUUAUUUUUUUACUUCAUUCUGGUUACGGUUUCCCUAAAUUCUGUGUGUAGGGGUUAUCCAAUCCUGAUAUUACAUGUCGACAGGGCAUAGCCCAUACAGGUUUGGGACAACAGUUAGCCAAUAAUGAAGCAAGCUUUGAGCAAAUGGAACACAGGAUAGUCCAGUUUGCCCAAGCAUUACAGGCUAUACAGAGUAAUACUGCCGGUACAACAUGUACCGCAGCCAGGGUCUACUACAGUGGGGUACACACAAUCCAUGGGGCUCCGGUGCGAAACUGCUCUGUUUACACGCACC
Pelobates cultripes (western spadefoot toad) is the source of this 452-nucleotide non-coding RNA. NCBI's taxonomy places the organism in Eukaryota, Metazoa, Chordata, Amphibia, Anura, Pelobatidae. The record is from the annotation of a GenBank genome assembly.